AGGGGUUAAAGUGCUCAGCUGCUAACUGAAAGGUUGGUGGUUCAAACCCACCAGCCCCUC
RNAcentral lists this transfer RNA (60 nucleotides) under Loxodonta africana (African savanna elephant). It matches the Rfam family "tRNA". From Rfam's summary of the family: Transfer RNA (tRNA) molecules are approximately 80 nucleotides in length. Their secondary structure includes four short double-helical elements and three loops (D, anti-codon, and T loops). Further hydrogen bonds mediate the characteristic L-shaped molecular structure. tRNAs have two regions of fundamental functional importance: the anti-codon, which is responsible for specific mRNA codon recognition, and the 3' end, to which the tRNAs corresponding amino acid is attached (by aminoacyl-tRNA synthetases). tRNAs cope with the degeneracy of the genetic code in two manners: having more than one tRNA (with a specific anti-codon) for a particular amino acid; and 'wobble' base-pairing, i.e. permitting non-standard base-pairing at the 3rd anti-codon position. The record is from Rfam by way of RNAcentral. Lineage: Eukaryota; Metazoa; Chordata; Mammalia; Proboscidea; Elephantidae.